GGAGGAUUAGCGAAGUGGCCAAACGCGGCAGACUGUAAAUCUGUUCCUUCGGGUUCGGUGGUUCAAAUCCAUCAUCCUCCA
Molecule: transfer RNA, 81 nt
Filed under: Cohnella nanjingensis
Lineage: Bacteria; Bacillati; Bacillota; Bacilli; Caryophanales; Paenibacillaceae
Also listed under: 2 other names
Rfam family: tRNA
About the family: Transfer RNA (tRNA) molecules are approximately 80 nucleotides in length. Their secondary structure includes four short double-helical elements and three loops (D, anti-codon, and T loops).
Source: Rfam by way of RNAcentral